AUAGGAGUUCAUUUUGUGAAGCUGUCACGAGUUUUCCAGUAGACCAUGAGCUUGCUGAUGGCAGGAGCCUGCCUGUCCUUGAUCCUUGUUUCUGUGGGGUCUAUCCCAGUGCCUGGCACAGUGGCUUUGGAGAUGGAAGGAAUAGAGGGAGAGCAGAUCCUCAAACACAGCCUGCAUCUCUCCCUGCUCCCCUCCCACCCUCCAGUUUUCCAGCCAGAGGCAUUUGCUCUAAGGCCCAGGCUGUGGCCCACCUAUCACCGCUACCCAAGUAGUACAGGAAAAGGAAAUUUGAAGAGGAAAAGAGGCACCAGGGAUGAGGACACACCGAGAAAAGACCAUGUGAAGACAUGGCGAGAAGACAGCCAGCUGCAAGCCAAGGAGUGAGGCCUCAGAAGAAACCAACCCUGCCGACACCUUGACCUUGGACUUCUAGUCUCUAGAAUUAUGCGAAAAUAAAUUCCUGUUGUUUAA
RNAcentral lists this long non-coding RNA (471 nucleotides) under Homo sapiens (human). RNAcentral's name for it is "non-protein coding lnc-INSC-2:2". The record is from RNAcentral. Lineage: Eukaryota; Metazoa; Chordata; Mammalia; Primates; Hominidae.